This 238-nucleotide ribosomal RNA is filed under the name uncultured bacterium. Its description in RNAcentral is "partial 16S ribosomal RNA". It matches the Rfam family "Bacterial small subunit ribosomal RNA", at positions 96 to 334 of the family's 1533-position model. The record is from RNAcentral.
CGGCGGACGGGUGAGUAACGCGUGGGUAACCUGCCUCAUACAGGGGGAUAACAGUUAGAAAUGACUGCUAAUACCGCAUAAGACCACGGUACCGCAUGGUACAGUGGUAAAAACUCCGGUGGUAUGAGAUGGACCCGCGUCUGAUUAGGUAGUUGGUGGGGUAACGGCCUACCAAGGCGACGAUCAGUAGCCGACCUGAGAGGGUGACCGGCCACAUUGGGACUGAGACACGGCCCAA